GAGAGACAAAUCCGACCAUCUGGACUCUGGUCCCGUUGGCAGCGUCAGUCAGCCGGCCAUCGAGCCCAGUCAUCCUUCCCGCAGGGCCUCCAGCCAGUCCACCCCUCUGCAUCCUCUUCAUCCCCGCAGUAGCAGAAGGAGGUUGGAGCUGGGAAAGUCCCACAGCAGCAGCCUGAGCAGCCUGGGAGAGGUUACAACGUUGGAAAAGAGGAACGCCAAACCCCAAACCGGGAGUACCGGAGGGCUUUCUCAGGUCCGUUUUAUAUCGCCAACAUUGAGUUCAGUCACAUGGCUCAGUGAGGCACUGCUUAUUGUUUGGUGAAGAUUUUACUUUUCAAAUUCUGAAACGUUUUCUCAUUUUAUUUUUUUAGAGACUUUCUACAUAAUGUGUAGAGCGGUUAAUUAACACUGGAACAAAAUAAAUCUGUAUAAAACUUUGAUAUGUUUAAGAUGCAUUAGAAAAGGGUGGAAAUAUGGUUCUAUUGCCUUUAACUUACAUCGUAGGUUUUGUAUUUCAGUACUUUACCAAAGUAGCUUUUCAAGCUACUAGACGAGCAGCGUCUUGGAACCAGUGUCAGAGCCUCCAUGGUGGUGUUUAUAAAAGCCUGGCUUUGCAUACCUUCUGUACUCUAUUGUGUUUACCAGGAUGGGGUCAUCUCCCCGGAGACGGACAGUGGGUUUGUCUGUUCGGAGAGCAGCCGGCCGACUCCAGCAGCAGCUCUCAGUUCUCUCCACCAGAGGGCCUCGCAGAGUGUUUUAGUGCCUCAGGAGGGGAACCUGGGAAACCCUGUCAUACAUCCAGUUCCGUCAACGUCUCACGGUCAUGCAGCUGUGGACCCCAGAAGUGACCCUCAGGUCAGCCGUGACCAGCAGAGGAGAACCAGACAAGGGCCGAGGAGACGCUCUUCUUCGUGCUCUCUACAGCACCGCGCCCGCCAGACGCAACGAACCAGGGCCGACAGCGGGACCAGUGACUUUGGGUUGGAAAGUGACAGAUCUCACACUGCGUCUGAAGACGGACCGAAUGAUCAGUACACAGAAUCUCUCAAUUCCCUCCACCACUCCAGCCGCAGCUCGUCCCCCACCGCAACGCAUCGCCAUGGGGAUUCUCUCCUAUCACUGCGCUCGAGUCAGAACCCCAGUGACGCAAUCCAGAGGCUGCAGGUCGAGGUGAUCAGACUAAGGAACACACUUGAAAGCUAUGUGAGGAAUCCGACGCCUCUGAGCUCUGCGAGUCCAGCAGCUCCAGCUCAGGAGAACUACACCCUCCACAACUCCGCUCCACCUCGCUUCAGGUCUGUGGAGCAGUGGGGUGAGGUCAGCCGGGGAAGAAGAGAUGGGAGGACUGUUGAUGAGUCUACACUGAGACAAAUGACCAGGAAGAGACCAUCUUCUGAAACCAGACAAAAGCCACAACUGGACAUCUUGAGCGGUCUGGAGCCCUCUUCACCCAAUCCUCCACCUCUGGUGUCCAGGUGUACUCAAACAUCCACUGCUGCACCAGACAGCUGUUCCCACAGUGCCGUCUGCAGCAGGACUCACUCCAGGCAGCAUCUGGGUGCAUCUGAAACAGCAGAUGGAGCCGACAGCAGAGGGCGACGCGCUCCUCUUUGUCCUCAGUGUUUGUCGCGUCACCAAGGGCGAUCUGACAGUACGGAGCCUCCUUUCAAUCCAGCGAAAUUUUUGUUUAGUGUUUUCUUUCAUAUGAUUACCUGCAUGUAA
Gasterosteus aculeatus (three-spined stickleback) is the source of this 1722-nucleotide long non-coding RNA. NCBI's taxonomy places the organism in Eukaryota, Metazoa, Chordata, Actinopteri, Perciformes, Gasterosteidae. The record is from Ensembl.